This 487-nucleotide unclassified non-coding RNA is filed under the name Hevea brasiliensis (rubber tree). Lineage: Eukaryota; Viridiplantae; Streptophyta; Magnoliopsida; Malpighiales; Euphorbiaceae. The record is from RNAcentral.
GUUUUAACCCAAAGUAGUCAACCACUCCGAGCAUUCGAGAGAUCUAAGGUGGAACAGAAGGUCAGCGAAGCUCAUCGGCGGUGAUGGCGACGGUGAAGCACGUGUUGCUAGCCAAGUUCAAGGAUGACGUCCCCGCAGAGAAGGUAGAUGAGCUCAUCAAGGGUUAUGCCAACCUCGUUCCGCUUAUCGAACCCAUGAAGGCUUUCCACUGGGGGACGGAUGUAAGCACUGAGAACAUGCACCAAGGUUUCACCCAUGUAUUUGAAUCAACUUUUGAAAGUGUGGAAGGCAUCACUGAGUACGUUGUACAUCCAGCUCAUGUCGAAUUCGCCAAUGUGUUCUUACCUGCGCUUGAUAAAGUCAUCGUCAUCGAUUAUAAGCCUACGACUGUGGAUGCAUGAUGUGAGCAUGAAAGGGUCUCUCUCUCAAUAUAUUCUAUGAACUUCGUGUGUGUUUUUUUCUUUAAGAAUGAUUUGUUGUGGAUGUA